RNAcentral lists this non-coding RNA (30 nucleotides) under Rattus norvegicus (Norway rat). The record is from RNAcentral. Lineage: Eukaryota; Metazoa; Chordata; Mammalia; Rodentia; Muridae.
UAGCAGUAUAGACUUGGAAUCUGCGUGCAC